UACAGAGGUGGCAAGCGUUGUUCGGAAUUACUGGGCGUAAAGCGUGCGCAGGCGGUUCGUUAAGUUCGAUGUGAAAGCCCCGGGCUCAACCUGGGAACUGCAUUGGAAACUGGCGGGCUUGAGUGUGGCAGAGGGGGGUGGAAUUCCACGUGUAGCAGUGAAAUGCGUAGAGAUGUGGAGGAACACCGAUGGCGAAGGCAGCCCCCUGGGCUAACACUGACGCUCAGGCACGAAAGCGUGGGGAGCAAACAGG
This 253-nucleotide ribosomal RNA is filed under the name uncultured bacterium. RNAcentral describes it as "partial 16S ribosomal RNA". It matches the Rfam family "Bacterial small subunit ribosomal RNA", at positions 524 to 776 of the family's 1533-position model. The record is from RNAcentral.